AGUAACACGUGGGAACAUACCCUUUUCUAUGGAAUAGCCUCGGGAAACUGAGAGUAAUACCAUACACGGCCUUCGGGCGAAAGAUUUAUCGGUGAAGGAUUGGCCCGCGUUAGAUUAGAUAGUUGGUGGGGUAAUGGCCUACCAAGUCUACGAUCUAUAGCUGGUUUGAGAGGAUGAUCAGCAACACUGGGACUGAGACACGGCCCAGACUCCUACGGGAGGCAGCAGUGGGGAAUCUUAGACAAUGGGCGCAAGCCUGAUCUAGCGAUGCCGCGUGAGUGACGAAGGUCUUAGGAUCGUAAAGCUCUUUCGCCAGGGAUGAUAAUGACAGUACCUGGUAAAGAAACCCCGGCUAACUCCGUGCCAGCAGCCGCGGUAAUACGGAGGGGGUUAGCGUUGUUCGGAAUUACUGGGCGUAAAGCGCACGUAGGCGGACUAAUAAGUUAGAGGUGAAAUCCCAGGGCUCAACCCUGGAACUGCCUUUAAUACCGUUAGUCUAGAGUUCGAGAGAGGUAAGUGGAAUUCCGAGUGUAGAGGUGAAAUUCGUAGAUAUUCGGAGGAACACCAGUGGCGAAGGCGGCUUACUGGCUCGAUACUGACGCUGAGGUGCGAAAGUGUGGGGAGCAAACAGGAUUAGAUACCCUGGUAGUCCACACCGUAAACGAUGAAUGCCAGACGUCGGGGGGCUUGCCCUUCGGUGUCACACCUAACGGAUUAAGCAUUCCGCCUGGGGAGUACGGUCGCAAGAUUAAAACUCAAAGGAAUUGGCGGGGG
Molecule: ribosomal RNA, 774 nt
Filed under: uncultured bacterium
Lineage: Bacteria
Description: bacterial SSU rRNA
Rfam family: Bacterial small subunit ribosomal RNA
Source: RNAcentral